RNAcentral lists this ribosomal RNA (465 nucleotides) under Vreelandella stevensii. Its description in RNAcentral is "partial 16S ribosomal RNA". It matches the Rfam family "Bacterial small subunit ribosomal RNA", at positions 338 to 795 of the family's 1533-position model. Lineage: Bacteria; Pseudomonadati; Pseudomonadota; Gammaproteobacteria; Oceanospirillales; Halomonadaceae. The record is from RNAcentral.
CCUACGGGAGGCAGCAGUGGGGAAUAUUGGACAAUGGGCGAAAGCCUGAUCCAGCCAUGCCGCGUGUGUGAAGAAGGCCUUCGGGUUGUAAAGCACUUUCAGUGGGGAAGAAAGCCUUGGGACUAAUACCCUCGAGGAAGGACAUCACCCACAGAAGAAGCACCGGCUAACUCCGUGCCAGCAGCCGCGGUAAUACGGAGGGUGCGAGCGUUAAUCGGAAUUACUGGGCGUAAAGCGCGCGUAGGCGGUCUGAUAAGCCGGUUGUGAAAGCCCCGGGCUCAACCUGGGAACGGCAUCCGGAACUGUCAGGCUAGAGUGCAGGAGAGGAAGGUAGAAUUCCCGGUGCAGCGGUGAAAUGCGUAGAGAUCGGGAGGAAUACCAGUGGCGAAGGCGGCCUUCUGGACUGACACUGACGCUGAGGUGCGAAAGCGUGGGUAGCAAACAGGAUUAGAUACCCGAGUAGUC